This is a long non-coding RNA of Homo sapiens (human), 1784 nucleotides long. The record is from Ensembl. NCBI's taxonomy places the organism in Eukaryota, Metazoa, Chordata, Mammalia, Primates, Hominidae.
GGGGGCCCCUUUUGGCUCCUUCAGACCUCAGCCCAGAGAACCAGAGAAGGGUCAGAGACGCACGAGGGAGAGGCUGAACUCACACUUACCUUUGACCAGUAGAAGAGGUGGUGGUUGAUUUUUUCGCUCUCCUACUCUCCCAGAGGAGGCCCCGGUCCGAGCCAGCGCUGGCGGGCUGCGGCUGCUGAAACUAGAGUUCCUGUGGCCAGAAUGGUGCCCCUUGCCCGCUCCAGGGCUUCAGAGAAGAGCGAGCCCGGCCCGGGGCUAGGGUGUCCGGCCUGCCCCGCGAAGGCGCGCUGGGCCUGGAGACUUUGCGCUCUUCACUUCGCCAGACGAGAGUUUAGCCCGGGGCCCGUCCGCGACACCUGGCCUCCGGCGGUUUUCGGGACCCUCUCUCAAAACUGCGCGAGCGCCGAGAUCACUCUGGUAUUAGCUCCCUUUAGAUGAGGAAGGCAUUGUAUCUUUCUAAGGGGGUCUCUCAGACCUAAGUUAUUUUGGUCUGCAGUGGUAGUAAUGGCCUUGAAUUUGUUUAAACUUACUGCCCACGACACCCUCUCCCCAAAUCCCCCUACACCCACACAGUACGCUCCAUCACGGCCACCACCACUCCCACUCCAUUUGCAUUUGAAAACCUCUGGAAACAUAAGCGCUUUCAGGAUGAACUCUCUCUCUCUCUCUCACUCUCUCUCUCUCUCACUGUCUCUCUCUCUCUCUCUCUCUCUCACACACACACACACACACACACACACACACACACAGCCCGCCAAGUGGAAACUGAGUUGAGUCAUAGGAUGCAUAUGAAUAGGAUUGGAUGGUCCUUUGCUUCUGCGGAUAAGAAUGUUUAAUAACCCAGGAUUCCGGGCAAUAACAGCAUUACAGGGUUUCUAGAACUCUGUUCUGAUCCUUUAGAAAUUGUUAGAACAAUAGUAAUGAUAGUAGGAGGAGAAGUAGGACUAUGUUUUUCAAGGCACUUGCAAGCAAUCUGCUACAUCGUUUAUGGGAGAACUUAAAAAUAUUCCCCUUGAUUAAGACUCACAGGUCAAAUAUCAUCUCUCUUUUCUGCAUGCUAAUUAAAAGCAACUCUGUUCUUAGGUAUUUGACAGUCAUUUGAAUCAAGAUACUUGAAAAUUUCUGACUCAAUAGCAAUGUGCUUCAGUACACACAAUCAAGUAUAAUCAUAUAUAUGUGAGAUAUGACUUUGAAGAGGAGAUGACUUUUUUAAAAAAAAGACGCAUACUCAAAGACAACUAGAAAUGGCUGCUGCAGGCAACCAGUCACUGCUCUGACUACAACAUAUUUGUGCAAUUAAUAGUCUCACAACCUAGUCCAAAUCCCCUCUUUACUUGGAGCAGGAGUGUUAAUGAACUGUAGAUGCAAAGCUCUUAAUGUAUAGAUGUAGUGUCCUCUUGAAAUUUAACAAGCUUUGAAAAUGUAAUAAAACAGAGAUAAGUAUUCAGGUUAUUUUUAGUUUGUGUUGGCUUGUUGUGUUUUUAAUAUUGUUUAAAAUAUGACACAGUUAUCCUCAGUUCCUAUCCCAUAUGUCCAUUCUGGAGGAUCCAGAAAACAUAUCAGUAGUUAGGGUAACAAAAAAUCCUCCAAAAAAGACCCAAGUUUUGCCAGUAAACUUUAAGUCUUUAUUGAGCAUUUCAUAAUAGCUUUAAAAAAACAAAGUGCGGUUCAUGUUUCUAGCUACUUUCAUACAAUGUUGAAAUAAUACUAUAAUUUGACUAGGUAAGAUUCUUAUUGAUUGCUAAUUUGGUGUUAGAAUUGAUUAUAUUUCACAU